This 22-nucleotide microRNA is filed under the name Glycine max (soybean). RNAcentral describes it as "gma-miR4374c". Lineage: Eukaryota; Viridiplantae; Streptophyta; Magnoliopsida; Fabales; Fabaceae. The record is from miRBase by way of RNAcentral.
CAACACCGUCUUUGAAGCCUGG